RNAcentral lists this ribosomal RNA (270 nucleotides) under uncultured archaeon. RNAcentral's name for it is "partial 16S ribosomal RNA". It matches the Rfam family "Archaeal small subunit ribosomal RNA", at positions 477 to 747 of the family's 1478-position model. The record is from RNAcentral.
CAGCACCUCAAGUGGUCAGGAUGAAUAUUGGGCCUAAAGCAUCCGUAGCCGGCGCUGUAAGUUUUCGGUUAAAUCUGUACGCUCAACGUACAGGCUGCCGGGAAUACUGCAGCGCUAGGGAGUGGGAGAGGUAGACGGUACUCGGUAGGAAGGGGUAAAAUCCUUUGAUCUAUUGAUGACCACCUGUGGCGAAGGCGGUCUACCAGAACACGUCCGACGGUGAGGGAUGAAAGCUGGGGGAGCAAACCGGAUUAGAUACCCGUGUAGUCC